Cebus imitator (Panamanian white-faced capuchin) is the source of this 1388-nucleotide long non-coding RNA. RefSeq lists it as uncharacterized. The record is from RefSeq and is a predicted model, not a curated record. Lineage: Eukaryota; Metazoa; Chordata; Mammalia; Primates; Cebidae. The transcript is spliced from 3 exons.
CUUCUGCCAACAACUUGCAGCACCUGGUUGGAGUCAUCGCUCAGAUUUGCAUCAACAACCCAUAGCACCCCUCAGUCUCACAGGGCUCUCGUGGACCGUGGAUUGCAGGAGGAAUGAGAACUUUGGAUGCCAUUCCACUUGAUGUCAAGAGAAGAAUACCUAAAGAGUCCUCAGUCCAGGGCCAGCCACUUACCUAUUAAGCAUGCAACUCACUUGCCUGAAAAGGGCAAUGGCAAAGCAGUCUCAUGGACUAAGCGAGCUAUGAUGUUAGUUAUAAGGAAAGUAUGGCAAUAUCCUAUGGGAUAUGUACAAGUGUGGAAAUGUGCACCUUUGACUGAACCAUGUUUCUUGCUCCAUAUUGAAAAAUGACCUCAUUCCUUUGUAAGUAUUAGUCACAUUUUAAUGGGGACAUAUUCAACGUUUGUGCGGGAACUCCCGAAUCUUCUGAAAGCAUUAGCAUCACACAUGGGUGAAUUUCAAUUACCGAUGGUGCCACCAAUUCAGUGUUCUUCCUAUAUUAUGGUCACAGAUGAAGGUGAAUUUUUAGAUGGUCAGUGACUACAGGCUUUGAAGCAACUGACGUCACUUGCUUUUCAUUUGUAACCUUUCUGCUCGUAAUUGUAGUUCCUGCUGGUAAGCAAGAUGUGUAAACACGUAAACAUACUAGGCUUUGAAAAUGCAAGCUCUUUUGCUCUGCAUUAAUAUGAUCAUUUCUCUAAGUUAAUGCAUCAUCAUUACUUCCCACUUGGCACAUGGGAAAAUGUAGCACAAGCAGAAAUAGGGUUUGAAGUUAAAUCUCAAAAAAGAAAAAAAAAAGAUUUUGCUCUUAUAGAAAAUAAAAGAAGUAAGGGCUAUAAACAAAACAAAAAAACGCUUGAGUUGUAUUUGAAAAGUGGCUGCUAGGCAGGCAGAAUUUCCUGAGCUCUUGGACUGAAGAUGGUCAUACACUAUGAGAUGUUUUGCUUUUUCCAUUCAGGCAGAAGGUGGUUGAAAGAAGAUACUUUUAAAUGUCAUUCCAAGUAUGCCAGGGGUGCAGACCAAGAAAAGCCUUUAGAAUCCAUUAGGUUUCUUUUAAGAUUCCCUACAGACACUUUACCUAUCUGAAAAUUAUUUUCUCCACUGUCACCAGGAGAUAAUAAUAUCUAUUUUGCACCAUUGUUGUAUAGAGCAGUGAUCACAGUGCUGAUGUAGAGCAGGAACUCAGUAAAAAGAAAGGGUUUUGAAUGUUAAUAAAGAAAGUUAAAACCUGCUCAAACAAGUAAGAAGUGACAAACUCUUCCAUGAGAUUUAUUUUCCUCAUCUCUAAAUACAGUAACAGGACCUUAUUCUUUGGGUUAAAUAAGGUAGUGAGGAUUAAAUCAAAGCACAUGAAAAUGCCUUGCACAGAG